RNAcentral lists this ribosomal RNA (918 nucleotides) under uncultured archaeon. Its description in RNAcentral is "bacterial SSU rRNA". It matches the Rfam family "Archaeal small subunit ribosomal RNA", at positions 1 to 921 of the family's 1478-position model. The record is from RNAcentral.
UUCCGGUUGAUCCUGCCGGAGGUCACUGCUAUUGGGGUUCGAUUAAGCCAUGCGAGUCGACUGCCUUCUUCGGAAGGCAGGGCAGACGGCUCAGUAACACGUGGGCAAUCUACCCUCGGGUCUGGGAUAACCCCGGAAAACUGGGGAUAAUACCGGAUAGAUGGAGAGGUCUGGAAGGAUUUUCCGUCCAAAGCUCCGGCGCCCGAGGAUGAGCUUGCGGUCGAUUAGGCAGUUGGCGGUGUUAAGGACCACCAAACCUGAGAUCGAUACGGGCAGUGAGAGCUGGAGCCCGGAGAUGGGGACUGAGACACGGCCCCAGGCCCUACGGGGCGCAGCAGGCGCGAAAACUCCGCAAUGUUCGAAAGAACGACGGGGGAACCCCAAGUGCCUCAUCUUUUUUGAUGGGGCUUUUGCGUAGUAUAAAUAACUACACGAAUAAGGGCUGGGUAAGACCGGUGCCAGCCGCCGCGGUAACACCGGCGGCUCGAGUGGUGACCACUUUUAUUGGGCCUAAAGCGUUCGUAGCCGGUUCGGUAAGUCUUUGGGUAAAUCUUGCUGCUCAACAGUAAGAAUUCCGAAGAUACUGCCGGGCUAGGGACCGAGAGAGGUCGGAGGUACUCCUGGGGUAGAGGUGAAAUUCUGUAAUCCUGGGGGGACCACCAGUGGCGAAGGCGUCCGACUAGAGCGGGUCCGACGGUGAGGGGCGAAAGCCAGGGGAGCGAACCGGAUUAGAUACCCGGGUAGUCCUGGCCGUAAACGCUGUGGGCUAGGUGUUGCAUGCUCUACGGGGGCAUGCAGUGCCGAAGAGAAGUUGAUAAGCCUACCGCCUGGGAAGUACUACUGCAAGGUAGAAACUUAAAGGAAUUGGCGGGGGAGCACCACAAGGGGUGAGCCUGCGUUCAAUUGGACUCACGCGGA